GGAAGCCGAGCCCAUAAAACCACAGGCCAGUGGCGCAAGAGGAACCGUCAGGGAAUCAUCAGAGUCAGCAGGAUUCAUCCUCUGGGGAACAACAAUGUUUCAGAAAAAGUUUGAGCAAGUCCAUCCAAUAGAUGUUAAGAAGUGGAAAUUUUUACCUACAAAUGGUGCAAGAUGAAAAGUUACAGGAUCAUCACAUUCAUCAGGAUUCAUCCUCUGGGGAACAUGAAUGUUUUAAUAAAAGUUUGUGACAGUCCAUCCAGUAGAUGUUCAGAUAUUUUUGCUGAAUAAAUGGAAAUUUUGACCUGCUGGUGAUGAAAGACAAAAAGUCAGGAAAUUAGCAAUUUCAUCAGGAUUCAUCCUCUGGGGAACAUGAAUGUUUUAAUAAAAGUUUGUGACAGUCCAUCCAGUAGAUGUUCAGAUAUUUUGCUAAUUAAAUGGAAGUUUUGACCUCCUCAUGGUGGAGGACAAACUGUCCAUGAACUCAGGCUUCACCCUUUGGGGAACAUGAAUGUCUUUGGAAAAUGUUUUGCCAAACGCAGGUUUUUACAACUACUACCACUAACCUUUGCUUCUCUUCUGUCUACAGAAAACUUAAUCGUCUACAAAGUUUUGUAUUGCGUUACAAGCAAUAAGGUGCAUGAAUAAAUCAGAAGAGACUGUGUGUUAAUCUCUAAAGACAGACGACAUCUGGAAGGUUUUGUCUCAACUGUUGUUUUCCACAGGAUUUAAAGUUUGGAGAAACAGUAGUUCUGGUUCUUGUAUAGAGAAGGUUUUGGACGAGGUUCUGGACAGUCCUCGUCCUCUGACAUGUCUACAGACUGUUGUCUCCAUCAGGAGUGGGUUUCCCAGGCAGCAGGAUAGGAUGACAGCGGCAGGAAACCAGAUCCAGCUCGGCGAUUAUCUGAGGUGUCUGUCGGACGGCUCUCCUCCUCAGCAGCCCGUCCUGCCAAAUGAGAUGCCGGUUGUUUCCAUGGUUCUGUUGUUUACAGUGUGAGGUGUGACAGGCUGCAGGGUCACAAACUGAUCUGAGCUCAGAUGCUCACACAUAGAAAAAAUAGUCUGAAACCAUUCGACCUUCUGACAAGGGCUUCUUAAGAGUGACCAGCACUCGAUGCUUUAUUUGCAUUAUCACUGUGACUCUUUAGCCUUGUUAGCCAGUUUGACCCAGAAUCAUUAAAGAAGAAUGGUCAGUUUAGCUUAGCACAAAGACUGGAAGCAGGGGGAACUGUUAGCUUAGCUCAAUUAAAAGGGGAAACGUCUACCUCUGUUAUAUCUUGCUGGCUAACCAGCUAGUUACCAGUCCAUCCUGUAGUCAGCUGGGUUUAGCUGACAUCCAAAGAACAACUCCACUAUGAGCUCGAGACUUUAGAGAUGCUAACAAAUAGCUUCAGUAAAUAAAAAACGCAACAUCUCCUUUUUUCUUGUUGUGUUUGCAUUUAAACAACGAAGAGUAAAUGAGAGACAAGUCGCCUAAAGGCGGGUUUUCCCUCUUCUGAUGGAACCUGGCGAACACUUUCCCCCUGCUUCCAGUCUUUGUGCUAAGCUAGGCUAAUAGAUUAACUGAUAUCAACUCUGAUACAAUAAUUAAUGUGAAAUCAUAAAAAAUAAUAAUAUUAUCAUUAUUCAGUAUGAUCAUAUUCAGAUUAAUCAAAUCUACAAAAAAACUGGAGCAAAUCUAAAUUAAAUCACCGUCACUGAGACUUUAUUACAGUUACUAAUGAGUCUGUUGUUGUUGUUGUUGUUGUUGUUGUUGCUAAUGGAAGCAGGGCUGCUGCAGGUUGUCAUGGUGAUGAAUGAGUCACGCUGGACAAACACUGAUAAGUGUCUGUGUCUCACCGACCCUCCAUCACACUGACCGCCCACACAUCCGGCGGAGCUCAGCCGGCUAACGGCUCUCACUCUCCGCAGCUCCGGUGCGCGCUGGCCGCCGGGCGUGUCUCCGCGCGGCUGAUGGGGAUUCCGGUUUUUCCAGUCGGAUCCUUCUGGUUUAAACCGCAGCAGCUCUGAGUCCCGCGUCAGUCUGAGCAGCAGCAGCAGCAGCAGCAGCAGCAGCAGCAGGAACAGGAUGGCCUCCAACACCGCCACCAUGGGGAACCUCCCCAGCGGGAUCGGAAUAUGUACGACCAUCCCCGACAUCCUCUACCUGCCGGAACUGAUCUUCGGGGGUCUGGUCUGGAUCCUGGUGGCGUGCACGCUGGUGGUGCCGGCGAACCCUCAGGGCUGGGUCAUGUUCGUCUCCGUCUUCUGCUUCAUCAUGACCUUCAUCUGGACGGUGGUGUUCGCCUGCGGGGGGCAUCACAACAAAGGCAGCUGGGCCGCAGCCGACUUUGCGUAUCACGGCAUCGCCGCCUUCUUCUACCUCAGUGCUUCAGUUUCUUUGGCCAAAGUGACCCUGGACCUGCAAGAUGACAGCCAGAACUUCCAGAGCUACCAGCUGGACAUCUCUGCAGUGGUGUUCUCGUACGUGGCGACUCUCCUGUACUUCAUCCACACCAUCCUGUCCGCCAUCCGAUGGAAAUCUUUCUAGACCCCCCCCCCCCCCCCCCGCAGAGCCCGGGGAGCAGCGCCAGAACAGAACUGAUUUUUAUUCAUGAAGCCUGAACAUGAAGCUGUGGCUCGCCGGCAUGAAGGGAGGGGGACGACUGUGGAGCAACAUCUGGAUCACUGCAGCUGUGGCAGUGAUCCGAAGUGAUGGAGGACAGCGUCACAGCUGACAUCACACACAACAGCUGUUUCUGCUGAGGCUGUAAAUACAAACAACAACAAGCAAACAAACAAACAAACAAACAAACAAACAAACAAACAAACAAACAAACAAACAGCUCACACAAUGUUCACUUAUUUACUGCACCAAAAAAAAACUUUGUCGCUUUGAGCAACUCUCCAUCAGACAAAGAUGCGAUGGACGCCGCCAUCUUAAAUCACAUGAUGCCGAUCACAUGACGAGAGCAGCCGUGCUCCAAACGUCACUGUUAUUUGUUUGUUUGUUUGUUUGUGUUGAGCUUUGAACUCUGAUUGGUCGGCAGCUGCAGAACAGUCUCCGCUUCAGAUCGAAAAAACAUGUGAAGUCAGGUGCUGGAAAAGCUGAACAUCUGUCUGACAAGAACAACAUCACUACGGACGUCACCUGAUCAGAACCUGGAAACCACAUCAUCAUCAUCUUCAUCAUCAUCAUCAGCAGCAGCAGCAGCAUCAUCAUCAUCAUCGUAGACCUUUUAAUCACUGAACUGAUGUAUCCAGAGUAAAUUAAGACAGGUAACCGCGCUGCGUUGCAGGGGUCUCCAUGGUAACAGGUGAUGGAUCUUGACACGUGUAAAUAUUUCAUCAGGUGAAGCAGAGAGGUCGGAGGUCACACACCACUGAGAGGAAAACUAAACGAACUACAAGUGGUGUCAGGUGUUGUGGGGGGGGGGGGGGGGGCGUGUCCUGCAGGUAUUUGAAGAGUUAUUUAUGUUUAAUGAACUCUUACAGUUUCUGUCUAUCUUUAUUAAAAAUGUUUUCCUGUUUUAACUCAGCUGGUCGUAUGAACCUGAUUAAACUGUCCUGUAACGCUGGGGGAGGAACAAUGUUCAGGUGUGGAGCAUAAACAGCAGCUCAGAACAUGAAACCAGGUUUAAUGGGGUAUGGCAGGGAGUAAAUACAGGGCAGGCCUACACGCACGCACGCACGCACGCACACACACACACGCAC
Molecule: RNA transcript, 3690 nt
Organism: Seriola aureovittata
Lineage: Eukaryota; Metazoa; Chordata; Actinopteri; Carangiformes; Carangidae
Gene name: myelin and lymphocyte protein-like
Exons: 5
Source: RefSeq, a predicted model, not a curated record